GCGCGACACUUCCCGGGAAUCCCCGCAGCGCGUGCCCAGCGCCUCCCUCGGCAGUCCCCGCGCUUCUACAGCUCUGCGCAACGGUUCCCCGAUGUUUGCGGAGUGAAUCGCCGCGCCGCUUGGCGCCCCGGCAGUGGGCUCCCCGGGAAGACGCUUCUCCCGGGACCAUCCGGGACUGCCAGUUGGACCCUUCUCCAAGAGGCGCCUGGAGGAGAAAGGAAUGGCCGUUGAAGAUCUAAAAACCACUUGCGGGAAGAGAAACUCCUCAAGAUGGCGGAUACGCCAAAAUGGCUGAGGUUCCUGUCACC
Molecule: long non-coding RNA, 308 nt
Organism: Canis lupus familiaris (dog)
Lineage: Eukaryota; Metazoa; Chordata; Mammalia; Carnivora; Canidae
Exons: 3
Source: RefSeq, a predicted model, not a curated record